This is an RNA transcript of Plodia interpunctella (Indianmeal moth), 6622 nucleotides long. It is a transcript of the gene named blood vessel epicardial substance-like, with no coding region annotated. Lineage: Eukaryota; Metazoa; Arthropoda; Insecta; Lepidoptera; Pyralidae. The record is from RefSeq and is a predicted model, not a curated record. The transcript has 7 exons.
GCAGUAGGUAGUGUGUUGCCGUGCCUGCUGUCGGUUGCUGUCAUUUGUGUGCUUCGUUCGAUUGUUUGCUUUACGUGCUUCCUCUUUCCUAACGUUUUAUUUUGGACUGUAAACGAUUUCAAUUAAAUAUACGUUCCUUUUAAAUUAAAUUUACCACAUUUACUCGUCAUCUACUGGUGCUUUCGCGUUAGUUAGCAAUUUUUUAGUGGUUCAUCAAUUAUUUUCAAAUCAAUUUUCGUGAAUACCUUCGUGUUUUUGAAUAAUACAUGCAGAAUAGUAGUGAUCUAGUGUUUUGUAAUAAUACACAAAUGCUUAUAGACGUUAAAGUUUCGAUGACAAAUAUCGGGUUGAGUUUCGGUGGUCGGCCGGACUAUGUUGUUUCUUGGCGCCUUAGCCAUCGGUGUGUUAACUGGGCUGCAGAACUUGACUACGGAGUUGCCGACGAGCGUCAGUGACGUGACUGAAGCGUCUUCGACGACUGAGAUGCUUCUCCAGGAGACGACGAAGAUGUCGAGUGAAUACAACUAUGACAUAAUUAAUAUUACAAUAGAGGAGCGAUACGUGCUUUUUGGCUUUCAUAUAAAUAUAUGUACGAAGUGGCGGCCCACGCACCAUGUAUUAUAUCAAGUGGCAAAUGUCAUAUUUCUUUUGUCAUUCCUAGCACCGCACACGUCCAACGGUCUGGUAGGGCUGCGACUGGGGUUGAUCACGGGAUGUGUUGUUAUGGGACUUUGGGCGUGGAGCUUUGAGUGCCACCUGGAUGCUCUGUUGUGGAAUGGUGCGUUUAUUGUGGUGAACUUAGUGUACUUUGCUGUGCAAUUGUAUUUGAUACGACCAAUCACAUUCCACCAGGAAAUUGAGGAGGUGUACACGGCGUUGUUCAAACCUUUGAGGGUCUCGAGGCGGCAGUUCCAACGAGUGCUGAUGUGCAUGAAGACCGUGCGCCAUCUGAAGUGCCAAGAAUUGUACGCGCACGAGAAGAUAACAAAGGUCGAAAGCCUCUCGUUGGUGCUGUCUGGCAAACUGGUGGUGUCGCAGAACCAGCGGGCACUUCACAUAGUUUUCCGCCAUCACUUCCUCGACUCGCCCGAGUGGUUCGGCGUCUCCACAGACGAGCACUUCCAGGUGUCAAUAAUGGCGAUGGAAGAGUCGCGCGUUCUGGUCUGGCACAGGGACAAGCUGAAACUGUCCAUCAUGUCGGACGCCUUCCUGCAGACUGCAUUCGACCACAUUCUGGGCAGGGACGUCGUCCACAAACUGUUGCAGGUUAGCGAAACGAUGGGCGUCAGCAACGGUCACCUGCCCAACAGCUUCGAAGAGGGCGAGGACAAGCCCAUGCUGGUGGUGAAGAAGGCGGGCGAUGGACCCGGCAUCACAGCGCUGCUCAACCGACAGCUGCAGGGGGAGCACGCGCCGCUGCUGUCCGCCGCCGCUGCGCCGCGCUGCGUCCGCGACUGACGUCGCUGAUCCCGACCUCUUCCCCUCUCAUGCUAACCUGCUACUUUCGUUUGGGGCUACGCGAUUUAUUUUGUCUUCUGUUACUAUUAACUUUGAGUUUAAAAUUUGUUUGGUUGUGACGUACCAAUGAACAGCACAUAAACCUCAAAAUCGUUGCUAAUUCGCCGCUGUUACCAUCGCGUGUUGCAUGCAUGGUGACUUGACGUGCGGUCGACUGUACAGUACAUGUUGAAAUAAAAAUAUGGUGCGAACCAGUUACAAAAAGUUUAAUAAUGCUUGUCGCAAUUUGUUUAAAAGAAAAACACCUUGUAAUUGAAUUUGCUCUUCUAUUUUUAUUUUUUAUUUUCCCGUAAUUGACACUAUGCUCGCAUGCAAAUACUCCAAUAUAUAAAUAUGCAAAUACUCCAAACGAAAGUAAGAUUCCUAUGAUAACUAAUACCAUAUCAUACUACUCAUAAAAUGUUAAUAUCCAUUUAUCAUAUAUGUACAUGGGGUGUAAGGUAAAGCAAAAAUACAUAUCAUAAAAUUGUGUAUAAUACAUAUAUGACAUUUAAUAUUUUUGUGUAAUGACACAUUUUUUAAAAGCAACUAAUAUGUAGUAAAUAUAUUUUAUUUUUAGCUAUAUAUCUCUAACGCUUUAACCAUGACAAUCGUAAUCUCUUUGUAAUCUAAUAUUAUAUGUAAUAUUCAAGGUAUAUUGUAUACUUUUGUCGCAUGUGUGGUCUUAUAAUAGGGUCGCUAGAUUUUAAAAAAUCUGGUAGCCCUUUUUGUGUUAGAUUUGCUUUUAAAAUACUAUUUGUUGUGCUUAUAUAAUAUUAUUUGCAAGUGUAAUUGUAACAAUAAAAAUAAUGUGAAUAUAUGCUAUUCAUUCAUUCAUAUCGAGUGUGUUAUUGCUAACACUGACAUUCAAGUCGCCUGAAUGCGUCUUCCUAUGCUAUUGUUUAUUUAUGUUAUAGUAUAUAAUGAUAUAUUGUACCCAGCAUUUAAAGAAAAUUGAAAGAGAACACUCUUUAGAACAUUUGACACAUUUAUUUAGAUAGACGUAUAAUUUAUUAUGGUUUUACCCUGCUUCGCUCGGGUAGAACCAUAAUAAAUUAUAUGUACGCCUAGACUUUCCUCGGGAAUUACACUAUCUAUUACUGAAAACCUUAUAAACAUCUGUCCGCUAACUUUUUAGUUUAUCGUGUUCAUACGGACAGGAUAUUUGUAAGGAUAUUUUAAAGCAUAUAAAUAGCAUAUAUUCACUGAUUCCGUAGAACUAUGCUUUAGUCGAUAUUCUAGUUACCUUAAUAUAACCUUAGUUUUAUAUAUAUUACAUUAGGUACUAUUAAGAAAUAAGGAAUAUUAUACUAACCUCCUUAUCGUCCUGUCCUUAAAUUCCAAAUUCCCAAUGCUUGUUUGGAAGACCAACGUUAAAAGCGACAGAUCCCAACGCGUGGCGCCUCGGCCGCAUCGAGGAGGCCGACCACGAGACGCCUGUGUGAGGCCGCGCUCUGCAUCUGGCCGUGUCCGCCAGGCAGACCUAGUGCACCUUAUUACAACACAUUAAGGGACAAAAUACUGUGGCACUGACACAGCGGCGGUGGAUCGAACGUUGACUUUUUAAUUGUGUAAAAAGUUAGUGCUGUCGUAGUGUUGGUGUUCGAAGACCGCGUGAACGUCGCUAGUACUAGUACAUCUUAUUACGACGACAUACGGAUUAUAAUGCUGUGAUGAUGAGACAUCUAAACAUUAAUGCCAUGCGAUAGAUAUUUUUAUAAAGGCGUUCGAAUUUUAAAAUUUCUACGCUACGCGUUUCUAGUGCACUUUAUUGCGGCGCAAUACGGUUCAAUAUACGGUGACGGCGAACGAGGAUUUGCAGCUUACGGGCGUACCUUAUUGCAACGUCAUAAAGGUGUUUUCUGAGCUAUGACAGUUGAGCGAACGAACAUGAAAUUUCGAUUUCGACUGUAAUUUAGUGUUCGAAAAUAUUUAUUUAGAUUUGAAAUGAAUAUUUAGAAUUGUGGCACUGACCACAAUUUCUUUGCUUCAUGUCGUUUGAGCUGCUUAUUGGUUUAAGUAAUAUAGCAUGGAUGUACCUAAUUGCAAAAGCGUCACAACCAUAAAAUGAGAGUAACAUAUAAUUGUAAGGACUUAUAUGUACAGAGUCUGUAUGCAUUAGCCUUAAGCCGUAAGGUGGCCACAAGAUGGCCAUCGGCCAUGGUGGCCUGUGGCCAUCUUGUGCUGGAUAGCUAAAGUCGAUAGCAUGAGCAUUGGCUAGUUUGGUAUAACUUCCCCUUUUUUAUAUAAAUUAUUGCUAGACUCGAGACCUUAUAUACUAAUACUUUGCCAACAUUUGAAAAGUAGUUACUCGCCCCAGUCCAACUCAGCUAUAUAAAAUAUUUAGUCACAAACUGACAAUACAUUUGUGUCUAGCCAUAGCUUGCAAUAUAUCCACGAUCAAUUUAUUAAAAUAAUUGGGACACAAAAGUUCGAUCAAUAAUAAUUAUAGAAAAUAGAUAUAUUAUAAUCUUGAGCUCGUAAAUAGCUGAGGUUUAUUGACUGAGAAUUAUUGAAAAAUAGAAAUAGCGUAUACAAAAUACAGUAAUGUAAAUUACCGUUAACUAGUAUUUACAUUUUAAAAAUACUUAUAAAUGCACACUAAAUAUAUCAAAUAUUCAGAUAAAUAUAUCGAUUCAGUGACAUAGAUAUUUAUUUUCUCAUACAGAAACAAUUGUAAAUUGAUAAUAAUAGAUUUAUAUAAAUACAAUACUCUUGGGCACUCUUGGAAUUAAUGAAAACUGUUUAUCGAAUAUGAAAUAGAAAGUAAUAAUAUGGAUUUAAUUAUUUUAAGACUCGUACAAAAACAUUAUUAUAGCAACAUAAUCUAGACUAUAUAGUUUCAUGGUAUGUUAAAUACGUAUUAAUGUAUAAGUUCAAACAUAUAGGUGCAGGAUGUUUGUUUAAACAUCGUUAUCCUUGAAAUCAGAGGUUCAGUAUCAUGAUUAGAAUCCAUAAAUCUAUUAAAAAAUGGAUCUAUUUUCAUUAAAUGUCCUAAUCACUUUACAUUCGCCGUGGGUAAAUCAGCUGGAGGUUAUGGCCCCGCCAUUUUGAGGCGUGCAAGGAACGCAAGGAUAAACGAAUUACUUAUACAGGAUGUAUCAUCAAAACUAAUUGAAUAUUAUUAUUAUUAUUUGUAUCAUCAUAAUUUCGGGUUCUAAGUUCGUGGAUUAUUUAACAACGAUAUUCAUCCUGCCUGUUAUAACAUACUAAAAAACUAUAUAUUUUAGAAAAAUAACAUCUCGAUGGUUAAGUCUUUUGUGUAAAUAUUCAUCUGUUGGAUGUCCCAAUUAAUGUAGAUGAGAGUGUACAAAAAAUGUCUAAAUACGAAUAAGAGAUACAAAUAACAUACAGAAACUCGUACGAAAUAUAAAUUUUGUUCAUUGACUAUGAAUACAUCUUUGGUGCGACUAAAUUAAAAGUGCCAUUUUUAAGCACAGAUAAUAAUGAUUACUAAGACAGUGCCUAGGGUUAAUACAUACUUUUAAGUAAAAGAUAAGCAUUUGCUAGUAGUAAAUAUAAUAAUAAAUACGAUUCGGAAACUGGACACGUAACCUAAUAGGUAAAUGAAGCACAUCGGUUCUCCAUCGCACGUUUACUUUUAGCACAUAUCAAAUAUAUUUUAAUAGACGUAUGUUUAUAUGUGUAUGUGUAUUAUAGAUAGCAGCACAAGUUUAUAUUUUGAUAUUAACAACAAAAAAGAAAAGCGAAAUCGUGUUCAAUAAAUAAAUAAAACUAUAUAAUAAAAGAUGUGUUCAUAGCCAUAUUAUUUUGUAAAGUCAUUUAAUGAUAUGAUCCGUGAGCCAGAGUUGGUUACUGGGUAACAAAAGAUUAAUAGUGUGGAAUAGACAUGUAGAUGAUGAAAUGACAAGUAUUUUAUAGUGGAUACAAUGAAAGAGAAUAUGAUGCAGUUAAUUAAUUUUUCACCAAAUCAAAAUAAAAUAGUUUUUAAUGCUGCGCCAUGACAACAUUGCCAGAAUAAUACAUACCGUGGAUUUAUAAAAAAAUUACUAAUCGGAAAUGACGUUUAUCAAGAGAAUAAACUUUUUUCAGGUUAAUUAAUUAACCUGAAAAAAGAUUGUUACAAUUAACGAUUUGACUCAUCAAAUUGAUGAGUUAAAUCGUUAAUUAACAUUAUUACAAUUAACAUUCGAAUUAUUAAACACAAGUUACAUGUGUACUACAUUUUUGUUUGAAUUAAUAAGUAAUUGUAUUAUUAUGUAAGUAUAUUCCAGGUCUAAAAAUAAAAUAUGAUGUUAUUAUGCAAACAGGAUAAUCUAAAAAACAUAUAGUAUUUAUAUAUUCUUAUAAGUAAUGUUUAUAUUGGGAAAAAAAUGAAGCUGAAAAUUAUAAAGUUAAACGAAUUGAAUAUAACAUUCCUUAUAUAUUUUUUAUUAUUGUUGACUUUAAAAUGACAAAAUACAAGUCUCAAAGCUAGAUAUCAGAAAAUGCACUGCCAAUGCAAAGUAGCUAUAAUAAUCUUGUAUUGAUUAAAGCUUUAGUAUUGUGACUAUUUCGUGAAUAGGUGUCGCAAGUGUUGUAAUAAGGAUCUCAAUUUUGAUUUUCAUUUUAAGAUGUGUUCACAUGGCAUUAGGUCCCUUUGUUUUCGUUAAUUACAUGAAAUUACUUAUUAAAACAUUGUUUGAUUUGUCCUAAUAUAUAUUUAUAAAUUUAAAUAAAAACUUUCGCCCAUUUUUGCAAAUAUAUAUGCAUCUCAUUAUAAGCAAUAUCAUUGAUAAACGUCUUGUAUAACUUGUUUUAUAAAAUAUUACUAACUGGGCUCUUUAUAUAACUUUGUGUCAUGUGAACAUCUAAUUAUACUUUAACAAGAAGAAAGCACUUCUAUGUUUUUUUAAAAAGAAAUUUGAUAUUUUUUUUAUUGAUGACUGUGAUUUUGUUUUGUUAAGGAUUGUUAAAGGACAAAAUGUGAUUGCUAAUGUGAAUCUAUGUAUUACUUGCCUUGGUGUGUGUUGUUUGGCGCACCUGGGGUGUUUAGAAUGCCUUAACUAAUUGCCAUUUGUGAUGAAUGUAAAUUAUGAUUGUAUGAAUAAAUAUUAUUGAUCACUGUAGUACUACAUGUUGAUACAGAUAGACUAAAAUAAAUGUAAAAACUUGUGUAAAACUU